This 31-nucleotide non-coding RNA is filed under the name Mus musculus (house mouse). The record is from RNAcentral. Lineage: Eukaryota; Metazoa; Chordata; Mammalia; Rodentia; Muridae.
GACCCGUGCGUCCAAACUUUACAUAAACUAC